RNAcentral lists this transfer RNA (72 nucleotides) under Phrynosoma platyrhinos (Desert horned lizard). RNAcentral describes it as "tRNA-OTHER". The record is from RNAcentral. Lineage: Eukaryota; Metazoa; Chordata; Lepidosauria; Squamata; Phrynosomatidae.
GACAGGAUGGUGUAGUGGUUUGAGCAUUGGACUAGGACUCUGGAGACCAGGGUUCGAUUCCCUGCUUGGCCG